CGACUUUCGAACGCAUAUUGCAGCCAUUGGAUAGCCGAUGGCUUCGUUUGUCUGAGCGUCGUUAUCAAAUUAUGACCAAACAAAAUGGGAUAGAUCUGUUUUGUCGUGCAUACGUCGUCAGGUCAUUUCCAAACAUUUGAUAUGCUGACUUUUGUGGUGAAGAAGGCUUUGUAGCACAUUCACUCACAAGAGGUAUUUAGCGUUUCCAGCUAAACACCUCGAAUGUGUGCCUUGCAUAACCAAAAUAUAGUCGCAAAUCAUUGUGCAAAACAAAACGUCUAAUUUCGACCUCAGAUCAAGCGAGAUUACCCCCUGAAUUUAAGG
RNAcentral lists this ribosomal RNA (324 nucleotides) under Dermatophagoides pteronyssinus (European house dust mite). RNAcentral's name for it is "eukaryotic LSU rRNA". Lineage: Eukaryota; Metazoa; Arthropoda; Arachnida; Sarcoptiformes; Pyroglyphidae. The record is from RNAcentral.